GUGUCAGUCAAGAGGCAACACUAGGAGGCAAGGAAUCUGCAUUUCUUUCAGACCUUGGCAGAGAGCGCCCUGGGAAAUGCGGAUAUAGAAGGUCAGGAGAACAUCUCUCCUGGUUAUACAGCAUUCCAGGACUCCUCAUCUGUUUUUAAGAGGGAAAUCUGAGUUUUCAAGGAAAGCCGAAUACAGUUGCCAAGUUGCCAGUCAAAGAAACAAUGUCAACACCUGCUCAUAGAGAUGGAAUUCCUAACCCGGAAUAUUGCCCUUGAAUUACAACGAGAAAAAGAACACUUCUUAUUCCUGUAGCACCUCUUCAAGUGAGAUGGCAGACCACCUCAGGAUGGAAAUGUAUUUCUUCAUCCCCCUCUCUACUUCCCUGUGACCUCCUGCAAAUAAGGUGAG
Molecule: long non-coding RNA, 399 nt
Filed under: Homo sapiens (human)
Lineage: Eukaryota; Metazoa; Chordata; Mammalia; Primates; Hominidae
Description: non-protein coding lnc-USP6NL-7:9
Source: RNAcentral